RNAcentral lists this long non-coding RNA (346 nucleotides) under Pongo abelii (Sumatran orangutan). Its description in RNAcentral is "lincRNA". Lineage: Eukaryota; Metazoa; Chordata; Mammalia; Primates; Hominidae. The record is from RNAcentral.
UCCCUCUGGCCACACCAAAGAGCACUUAACAUGCAUGAGGGUCUCAGGUCAAGAGUAUAUUGAAUAGUCGACAGUUACAUGGUCUCUAGCUUUCCAGAAGAGGCUGAACUGAUGAUGUCUGUGGAGAAAAGAACACGAAGGAAUAAUGUAACAUGAAACUCCCUAACAUGAUACACAUACAAAGACUAUGGAGAAAUCAAUGUGGAAAAUGCAAAACUAAGGAAGAAAGCAUUUUGAACCACUCAUCUAAGAAUAUGGUCAGUAUUAAAAAGACAAGAAUUCCAGAAAAAUCUUCCAAGUUAUGUUCCUAGGCUUAGCAGAAUAAAGGUAAGGCUUACUAGUUAAA